Microcebus murinus (gray mouse lemur) is the source of this 1410-nucleotide non-coding RNA. The record is from RefSeq and is a predicted model, not a curated record. NCBI's taxonomy places the organism in Eukaryota, Metazoa, Chordata, Mammalia, Primates, Cheirogaleidae.
UUGCCUUCCUUCCUGUUCAACCUUAUCUCUUGCCACUCUCUUUUUGAAGAGAAGAGAUAUAUCACAGAAUGAAGAGACAUGGAGACAGGAAAUCUAGAAAAAGAAAUAUUUCUCAGAUGCAGGAUGAGUGGCCAUUUCUCUGCUGUUUGCUGCCAGACUUCGCGAGUCUCGUGCAUACACGAGGGGAAGUGCACAGCACGAGGCGUGUCACAGAGCGAAGGCAUCUGAUGACAACGGGUCACCAUGUUUGGUGAGGCCGGGGCGUAACUGGGACUGGCGGAUGUAAUCUAUGCAGGGAGACCCUGGCCGAUGGGGGAAUGCUCUGAGAGGCUCCGAAGCAUCAAGUGAGUGGUGGGCUCGGGGCCGAGGGGUCUGUUCCAACCCUAAUAUUUCCUGAUCGUAACUCAGAUAACCAACCCUCCAUCGGUGCCUUAUUGCCAAGUCACCUGGGCUCGGGAAAUGCCGCUCACCACGUGCCCGGUGCCUGCUUGGGCUCUUCCCUGCCCUGGACUUGCGGCCUGCUGGGGCCUGUCUGUGACAGAGACUGCGGCUCCGCAGCCACAGCAAGGCGGGCCCGUGGUGGUGAAGGGGGAUGUCCCCACAGAGGUUUCUCCAGGCCUUAAUCCACCUCACCGCCUGCCCUCAACCCAAGGGAGCGCCUUGCCACAUGGGAGACCUGCCAAGGACACGCCCUGAUGGCCAGAGAACGUGCAGACAGAGGUGGGAAGCUGCUACAGUCCCCAGAGCAUGGACGGGGCUCAGGUUCCUCAAAAGUACAUGGAGAUAAGUGAUGCAGGUGGCAGUUCUAGGGAAGAUGUCACAGGUGACAUCUUCUAUAGUGCUUGUAGUGCGCCAUGCCCCUCACCAGGCUCUUCUACUUCAUUUCCAUCAGCUCGGGCCACCCUGUCUUGCCUUCUUCCUUCCCCACGUGCUCUGUCCCCGUGUGCCCCAUCUGGCUUCAGUGUGGGGAUAUUUUUGUUGGCACUUAGACCUGCCCAUGCUGCCAGGCACCCUAGCCUGCCUUCUCCCAGCCCAGGACUGAUGCAGAGAGCCCUCGACAAGGCACAGGAAGCUUCGGGAAGUGUGGAAGGGCCACAGGAUGGCCUAGGAGGCUACUGCUUCCGGCAGACCCGAGCUUGCCCAGCCAGCCGCCUCCUCCCUCACCAACAGGACCCGAGUUUUGUGCAGGUGUUUAGCAGGUGAGGUCUCAGAAGGUGGCUCCUUUCCCCAGGCACACAGUAGUUCUAGAUUUUGAAGCACAGUAGUUCCAUAUUGGUCCUGUGGAUCCUCAUAGCCUUUGCCAGCGAUAGACUAACAUGGGCAUGGGACUUAGUUGUUACAAGUAAGGGAAAGUCUUCCAGGGGGUGUCUGGGAAAGACUUCCCCACCUGGCAUGGGUUGAUGGAGGCUA